Molecule: ribosomal RNA, 1234 nt
Filed under: metagenome
Description: bacterial SSU rRNA
Rfam family: Eukaryotic small subunit ribosomal RNA
Source: RNAcentral
AUUAAAGUUGCUGCAGUUAAAACGCUCGUAGUUUGAGUUAUUUCGGUGUCAGGCUGGCUGGAAAAUUUAAUUUUUCAAGCUGUCUGGUGCCGAAUUAAAGUUUGGGUAGAGCAGAUUAAUUUCUCUCUAUCCAUUUAACCUUGAAAAAACAUUGUCGCUCAAAAAAGGACGGAAAAGUCUAUUGAGAUUUCAGCAUGGGAUUAUGAAAAAAGGGGGGCGGGUGCGAAAGGGGGUAAAAGCCCGAUUGGCUCGUUUCCAAUGGUUAAUGAGGACGAUGCGUGGGAGUUCAUAUUAACAAGUCAGAGGUGAAAUUCUUGGAUUUUAUUAAGAUGAACAUCAGCGAAGGCGUUCUUCAAGUGCGUGCCUGUCGAUCAAGAACGAAAGUUGGGGGAUCGAAGACGAUCAGAUACCGUCGUAGUCUCAACCUUAAACUAUGCCGACUAUGAAUAGGAUAUCGUUUUAAGAAGGGCGUCAAAAACCCUUCUGAUGACUUCUCCUGCGCAUUAAAAGAAAUUAAGAGUUUUUGGGUUCCGGGGGGAGUAUAGUCGCAAGGCCGAAACUUAAAGGAAUUGACGGAAGGGCACCACCAGGUGUGGAGCCUGCGGCUUAAUUUGACUCAACACGGGGAAACUUACCAGGUCCAGACAGCGUGAGGAUUGACAGAUUGAUAGCUCUUUCAUGAUUCGUUGGGUGGUGGUGCAUGGCCGUUCUUAGUUGGUGGUGUGAGUUGUCUGGUUGAUUCCGUUAACGAACGAGACCUUCGUUGUAUAAUACGAGGCGCUAGUUUUUGCGUCAAGGGUAGUGGCUCCUUCUUGAGAUACGAGCAAUCGCCUUGGGAAAAGGGUCAUUACUUGCAUAGCUAGCGUCAGUUUCGUUCUAUACAAGACAAAUACAGAAAAUGUAUUGGAAGUUGUAGGCAAAAACAGGUCUGUGAUGCCCUUCGAUGUUCUGGGCUGCACGCGCGCUACAAUGACAAUGUCAGCGAGUUUUUUAGCUUGGGCGAAAGCUCUGGCAAAUCUUCGAAACGUUGUCGUACUAUGGAUUGUUGAUUGCAACUAUUCGACAUAAAACAGGAAUACCUAGUAGACGUGCUUCAUCAGAGUACGUCGAUUACGUCCCUGCCCUUUGUACACACCGCCCGUCGCUCCUACCGAUUGGAACAUACGGUGAAAAUCUCGGAGAGUGCAGUUCUCGAUGGGUAGUUCGCUGUUCAUCUCCUGUGUUCAAAGUUAUU